Molecule: long non-coding RNA, 277 nt
Organism: Eubalaena glacialis (North Atlantic right whale)
Lineage: Eukaryota; Metazoa; Chordata; Mammalia; Artiodactyla; Balaenidae
Exons: 3
Source: RefSeq, a predicted model, not a curated record
GCUACUGGAAUGUGAGCAGAGAUGAUGUCGGCCACUGCCAGGCCAGUGUGCCUCCUUCAUGCGGUUUUUCCUUCCUGCCAGCUGGAUUAUGCAGAUGACUACAAGUCCCUGGGGUUGGCAGAACCACAAGAAAGAAUGUGCAGGGAUGAAGGAGAGCUGCCCAUUGACCUGGAACACACACUCUGGAUUAUUCUGUGAGCAAGAGCUAUUUGAAUCCUGGAACACUGUGGGGAGUGAGGGUUCUGGAUGCCCAUUUGAAUUCUUCUGAAACCAUGCC